GCCGACGUGGUGGAACUGGCAGACACGCACGACUCAAAAUCGUGUGCCGCAAGGCAUGUGGGUUCGAUUCCCACCGUCGGCACUA
RNAcentral lists this transfer RNA (85 nucleotides) under Candidatus Magasanikbacteria bacterium RIFOXYA1_FULL_40_8. RNAcentral's name for it is "tRNA-Leu". It matches the Rfam family "tRNA". Rfam says of the family: Transfer RNA (tRNA) molecules are approximately 80 nucleotides in length. Their secondary structure includes four short double-helical elements and three loops (D, anti-codon, and T loops). Further hydrogen bonds mediate the characteristic L-shaped molecular structure. tRNAs have two regions of fundamental functional importance: the anti-codon, which is responsible for specific mRNA codon recognition, and the 3' end, to which the tRNAs corresponding amino acid is attached (by aminoacyl-tRNA synthetases). tRNAs cope with the degeneracy of the genetic code in two manners: having more than one tRNA (with a specific anti-codon) for a particular amino acid; and 'wobble' base-pairing, i.e. permitting non-standard base-pairing at the 3rd anti-codon position. The record is from RNAcentral. RNAcentral also lists the same sequence under 4 other names. Lineage: Bacteria; Candidatus Magasanikiibacteriota.